Molecule: long non-coding RNA, 456 nt
Organism: Ruditapes philippinarum (Manila clam)
Lineage: Eukaryota; Metazoa; Mollusca; Bivalvia; Venerida; Veneridae
Exons: 5
Source: RefSeq, a predicted model, not a curated record
AUUCAAAUUUUGUCUCCUUAGGUCCGGACUUACCGCACUCUACCAGAAAUAGCUGUCGAUAUUUUGUCACAAAAUUCUAAAUUGGAGAUCCAAAAGUUGAAUAAAUGUGCAAGACAGAAGGCAUCUUCAAGUUCUAAAACUUCUAGUAGUACGGACAAGGUCCAAGAACAUACAGCGCCAAAGAGGAAAAAGAAGAGUGUUAAUCCUGAUCACCCGAAACGACCAAAAGUGAAUGGGUAUUCUUAUUUUUGUGGUGAAAUGACCAAGGACUUGGUUAGUUCAGGCAUAAAAGGUGUGCCUCUGAUGCUGAAAUUGUCCACAAUGUGGAAAGAACUGUCAGAGAAGGAGAAAGCAAAGUAUAAUUUGAAAUGUGCUAAGCAAAAAGAAGCUUACGUGAAAGAAGUAAUGGAUACUCACAAGCACAUCCUGACGACAUGGAGAUAAAAAAAGAUCCUU